CUGACAGGAGGUGGAGCUUAGGUGGUAAAGCUGGCUGUCUCGCCACUCACCUCCUGCUAUGCAGCCUGGUUCCUAGCAGGCUACUUACAAGUCCACACCCCUAUUAUAAAGUAUAAUUGAGCAGCAACAUCAUGGAAUCAUGGAACAAUACUUGACUUUCUAGGGGGAAGUGUGAAGGAGUGAAGAGGACAGAGAUGGGGUUUCACCAUGUUGUCCAGGCUGGUCUCGAACUCCUAAGCUGAAGCAACAUGCCUGCCUAGGCCUCCCGAAGUGCUGAGAUUACAAGAAUGAGCCACCACACCCAGCCAAGGAUUUUGACUCUUAUCCUAUGAAUAAUGAGAAGCUGCUGGAGUGUUUUAAACUAGCAAGAAAACUAACAAAGUUUGCAUGUUGGAAAAUGUGCUUGGCAAUAAGUGAUCUUCUCCAACACACUGUUACAUGAGAAAAUUGACCUAAGACUAAGUAAAGUCACUUGAUGAAAAUUAUAGAGCUAGUUGUUGACAAAGCGAUGGCAAAGAUGCAUGUUUACGAACUCCUGACUCCCUGCCCACUUUGCCCACUUCCUCUACUUUGAGGCAGAAGAAAGUAUAAAAGUGAAAGGAAGAGAAUAUUGCAUGAUAUCCAAAGGCAGAACAUGAAUUCCAGUAAUUGCCUGAGAACUAUGGAACUGACUGCAGCUAGAACAUACAUUUGUUGUGUAAAUAGAGUGAUAAAUAUACUAAUAAAUGCAA
RNAcentral lists this long non-coding RNA (731 nucleotides) under Homo sapiens (human). RNAcentral describes it as "HSALNT0343205". The record is from RNAcentral. Lineage: Eukaryota; Metazoa; Chordata; Mammalia; Primates; Hominidae.